UGGGGAAUAUUGGACAAUGGGCGAAAGCCUGAUCCAGCAAUGCCGCGUGAGUGAUGAAGGCCUUAGGGUUGUAAAGCUCUUUUACCCGGGAAGAUAAUGACUGUACCGGGAGAAUAAGCUCCGGCUAACUCCGUGCCAGCAGCCGCGGUAAUACGGAGGGAGCUAGCGUUAUUCGGAAUUACUGGGCGUAAAGCGCACGUAGGCGGCUUUGUAAGUUAGAGGUGAAAGCCCGGGGCUCAACCCCGGAAUUGCCUUUAAGACUGCAUCGCUUGAAUCCAGGAGAGGUGAGUGGAAUUCCGAGUGUAGAGGUGAAAUUCGUAGAUAUUCGGAAGAACACCAGUGGCGAAGGCGGCUCACUGGACUGGUAUUGACGCUGAGGUGCGAAAGCGUGGGGAGCAAACA
RNAcentral lists this ribosomal RNA (402 nucleotides) under uncultured Sphingomonas sp. RNAcentral describes it as "bacterial SSU rRNA". It matches the Rfam family "Bacterial small subunit ribosomal RNA", at positions 355 to 774 of the family's 1533-position model. Lineage: Bacteria; Pseudomonadati; Pseudomonadota; Alphaproteobacteria; Sphingomonadales; Sphingomonadaceae. The record is from RNAcentral.